This 255-nucleotide ribosomal RNA is filed under the name uncultured bacterium. RNAcentral describes it as "partial 16S ribosomal RNA". It matches the Rfam family "Bacterial small subunit ribosomal RNA", at positions 524 to 776 of the family's 1533-position model. The record is from RNAcentral.
UACGUAGGGGGGCGAGCGUUGUCCGGAUUUAUUGGGCGUAAAGAGCUCGUAGGCGGCUUGGCAAGUCGGGUGUGAAACCUCCAGGCUCAACCUGGAGACGCCACUCGAUACUGCUAUGGCUAGAGUCCGGUAGGGGACCACGGAAUUCCUGGUGUAGCGGUGAAGUGCGCAGAUAUCAGGAGGAACACCGGUGGCGAAGGCGGUGGUCUGGGCCGGCACUGACGCUGAGGAGCGAAAGCGUGGGGAGCGAACAGG